RNAcentral lists this ribosomal RNA (424 nucleotides) under uncultured bacterium. Its description in RNAcentral is "partial 16S ribosomal RNA". It matches the Rfam family "Bacterial small subunit ribosomal RNA", at positions 360 to 776 of the family's 1533-position model. The record is from RNAcentral.
AAUUUUGGACAAUGUGGGAAACCCUGAUCCAGCCAUCCCGCGUGUAUGAUGAAGGCCUUCGGGUUGUAAAGUACUUUUGGCAGAGAAGAAAAGGUAUCCCCUAAUACGGGAUACUGCUGACGGUAUCUGCAGAAUAAGCACCGGCUAACUACGUGCCAGCAGCCGCGGUAAUACGUAGGGUGCAAUCGUUAAUCGGAAUUACUGGGCGUAAAGCUUGGGAAAGCAGUUCGGAAAGAAAGAUGUGAAAGCACAGUGCUCAACCUUGGAACUGCAUUUUUAACUGCCGGGCUAGAGUAUGUCAGAGGGGGGUAGAAUUCAACGUGUAGCAGUGAGAUGCGUAGAUAUGUGGAGGAAUACCGAUGGCGAAGGCAGCCCCCUGGGAUAAUACUGACGCUCAGACACGAAAGCGUGGGGAGCAAACAGG